CAUUAGUUAGUGACCUUGCACACUAGACACAACUUAGCAAAAAACUUUUCUGUAACAUCAAUGUUGUCAUUCACGUAAAUUAGUAUCACAUUGCCAGAUAUGCACGUUGUUUGACGAUUUAUGAGCUGAAAUGAGAUGUGCCACAAUUUGGUAUGUACAUGCUGCCGCUAAGUUGUGGUUUGAUUUGAUAUUUGUGGAAGUUUUGCAAUGAUUUGAUAUUUUUAUCUCACCCACACAUUUGGUAUCAUCAAAUUACUGCUAUAAUCUGCAGUCAGUCACAUCCUACAUCAUUGAAUGUUCUCCAAAUUGAUUACAAUGCCAAUGCCUCAUUGUAUCUGUUUUCAAAUAAUUGACAUCUUUCUUUCUGUAUCUGUUUUCGAAUAAUUGACAUCUUUCUUUCUGUUGGUCCAAUACUCAUGAAGAAUUUAUAAUGAAUGUCAAGGAAAGUGACAGUGAUUGUUGGAGAUGUAUGUUUUUCUCUGUUAUUACUUUCUUUGUGUUGUAUUUUGAAUCCUAAACACAUGAACUCACAGCAUCUUUCCUUUCCUUUUCUUCUAAUAUAAUUAACGUCCAACUACUAUUCUCGUUUGUUUCCUCCAGAUAGAAAUGAUAUGGCAUGAUGCUGCAGAUACUUCUGGUUUUUCAAAUUUUAGGAAAGGAUCCACAGACACAACCAAGUGGCCUCAGUGGAAGUGACGACGGUUAUGUGUUAUUUAACUGCUAACAUAUCAAAGAGAAAGGUUUCCUAGCUAGCUAGCAGCUAUUCUCUUCCUUCCUCUUUGCUUUCCUUCAUCUUCCUUCCUUGUCUACUUUGACUCCUCGCAAUCUUGCUAGGGUUUAGGCCAUGUCUUUUUGCGCAUUACGUACAGUGAAUGCUGUUGAUUAUCCAUUUGAAAACCUAUUGCUUUAUUCUUGUUGGGUAGGGAUGUUGAUGAUAUGGUGGAGGCUUCUAGUUAUUACAUAUGAGCUUCCAUUUCAUUCCGUACGUCCUUCAUCACUUCACUUGGGUAGGCCUAUUAAUCUUCUGGGCAACUUUAUAAUGAACCCAAUAACUCGCCCAGCCUUUUAAACCCUUGCUUGUUGCCCCUCGUAACUCCCCACAAGCUUUAAUAAUCCCUUUAUGUGUUUGAAGAAAUAGGAAAUCAUGUUUUUGAUUGCUGAGUAGUGGAAUAGAAUGGAUAUUACCAAUUCAAAUAUCCAGAUGGCCGAGCGUGAACUAGGUUAUUUUCCUUCUUAAGACUAUAUCAUUUUGGUUUCCUUUGAGUAUAUGUCUUUUUUUUUUGGGACUUUUGUCAUCUGCUUGUAUCAUUGUGCUUUCUUCACUUGUUUAGAUCAAGUAUUAUGUUGACAAGUGUGAGAUCUUUUCAAUAUGUUGAGAAAUGUGAGAUAAACUUUUUUAUAUUCCUGUUUGCUCGAUGAGACGCACAGCUUGUGCAGCCAUUGAAUCAUCUAAGCUUAUGCAAGACAAGCACAGGGAAAUACCAUCUUAUUCGAGGGUCUGCUUAUAGAUAAAGAAUUUGGUUUGUCUCAAAUUAUGGAGAAGAUUUUUCUUCUGCCCGUUGGGAUUGUAUUGUUACAGCUUGUGGUUCAUUGCUCUGGUACUGAAUUCAAGGUUUUUGUUUAAAGCUUUGGCUGGCUUGACACUUCAAAUACGAAGAGAAGAGUCAUUGCAACGAACUUGUUUAAACCCUUCGUAUAUUUUUAUAGUUUUAAAAAAUUAUAAAUUUUACAAAAAUGCAAUAAAAUA
This is a non-coding RNA of Prunus avium (sweet cherry), 1747 nucleotides long. The record is from RefSeq and is a predicted model, not a curated record. Lineage: Eukaryota; Viridiplantae; Streptophyta; Magnoliopsida; Rosales; Rosaceae.